UACGUAGGGGGCUAGCGUUGUCCGGAAUCAUUGGGCGUAAAGCGCGUGUAGGCGGUCCGGUAAGUCCGCUGUGAAAGUCGGGGGCUCAACCCUCGAAUGCCGGUGGAUACUGUCGGGCUAGAGUGCGGAAGAGGCGAGUGGAAUUCCUGGUGUAGCGGUGAAAUGCGCAGAUAUCAGGAGGAACACCAACGGCGAAGGCAGCACUCUGGGCCGGAACUGACGCUGAGGAGCGAAAGCGUGGGUAGCGAACAGG
Molecule: ribosomal RNA, 253 nt
Filed under: uncultured bacterium
Lineage: Bacteria
Description: partial 16S ribosomal RNA
Rfam family: Bacterial small subunit ribosomal RNA
Source: RNAcentral